Small nucleolar RNA from Chanos chanos (milkfish), 71 nucleotides. RefSeq annotates it as small nucleolar RNA SNORD58. NCBI's taxonomy places the organism in Eukaryota, Metazoa, Chordata, Actinopteri, Gonorynchiformes, Chanidae. The transcript has a single exon. The record is from RefSeq and is a predicted model, not a curated record.
GUACGGUGAUGACAAUCUUAGGACACCUUUGGAGGUCACGACCUAUGAAACGAAAGUGUAACCUGAGUACG